GGGGUAAUAUUAAUAAAUAAAAUUUAAUAAAAGAAAUUUUAAUAUUAAAAAUAAAAUAAUGGGGGUUAAAGUAUUUUUAAUAGAAAAAAUUUGAAAUUUUAUAGUUAAUUAGUAUUGUGAAAGAAAUUUGAAAUAAUUUGAAAAUAAAUUUUUUUAUAAGUAAAUUUAAUUUAUUGUAUCUUGUGUAUCAGAGUUUAUUAAUUUUUUUUUAUGUUAAUAAAUUUCUCGAAUUUAAAAGAGUUAAUUAAUUAUAAAAUUUAUUGUUUCAUAAAUAUUUUAAAUAAUUAAUUAGAAAUGAAAUGUUAUUCGUUUUUAAAUAUAUCUAGUUUUUUAAGAAAAAAAUUUAAUUUUAAAUUAAUUUAAAAAAUUAAUUAAUUAUUUAAUUAAUUUUAUUUAAUUUAAACUAAAAAUUAAUUUAAUAAUUUAAGGGAUAAGCUUUAAAUUAAAUUUUUAUAAUUAUAUAGGGGAUAAUAUUUAAAAUUUAAUAUUUAAAAUUUUUAUGAUUUAAAUUGUUAAUAAAUUUUAGUUUAUUAUAAAUUAUUUUAAAUAAGUUGAAAAUUUAAAUUAAAAUUUAAUAUUUUAUUAAAAAAUAAAUUUAAAUUAGUUAUAUUUAGUUAUAAUGAUGAAAUUAGUAUAUAAAUUUUUAUAAUUUAAAAUAUUAUAUUUAAAAUUUAUAUUUAUGAUAAUUAUUUUAAAGGAAUUCGACAAAAAUUUAUAUUCACCUGUUUAUCAAAAACAUGUCUUUUUGGCUAUAAUUUAAAGUCUAAUCUGCCCACUGAUUUAAUUAUUAAAGGGCUGCAGUAUAUUGACUGUACAAAGGUAGCAUAAUCAAUAGUCUCUUAAUUGGUGACUUGUAUGAAAGAUUGGAUGAAAUAUAAGUUGUCUCUAAAGUAUUUAAUUGAAUUUAAUUUUUUAAUUAAAAAGUUAAAAUAUUUUAAAAAGACGAGAAGACCCUAUAGAGUUUUAUAAUUAAUUAAUUUUAAUUUAUUUGUUAAUUUGAUUAAAUUAAAUUUAAUUAAUUAUUUCAUUGGGGUGAUGGAAAAAUUUAUAUAACUUUUUUUUUAAUAAAACAUUAAUUUAUGAUUUUUUGAUCCAAUAAUAUUGAUUAUAAGAAAAAAUUACCUUAGGGAUAACAGCGUAAUUUUUUUUUUUAGUACUUAUAAGAAAAAGAGUUUGCGACCUCGAUGUUGGAUUAAGAUAAAAUUUAAAUGCAAAAGUUUAAAAUUUUUGAUCUGUUCGAUCAUUAAAAUCUUACAUGAUCUGAGUUCAAACCGGUGUAAGCCAGGUUGGUUUCUAUCUUUUAAUAUUUUUAAUAUUUUAGUACGAAAGGAUUGAAUAUUAUAAUUAAAUUAAUUUUUUUUGAAUAUUAUUAAUAGUUAAUAAAAUUGUGAAAUAAAUUA
This 1400-nucleotide ribosomal RNA is filed under the name Amplypterus panopus. Its description in RNAcentral is "16S ribosomal RNA". The stretch from base 1129 to 1288 matches the Rfam family "Eukaryotic large subunit ribosomal RNA", at positions 2825 to 2984 of the family's 3401-position model. The record is from RNAcentral. Lineage: Eukaryota; Metazoa; Arthropoda; Insecta; Lepidoptera; Sphingidae.